RNAcentral lists this ribosomal RNA (441 nucleotides) under uncultured Lactobacillus sp. RNAcentral describes it as "bacterial SSU rRNA". It matches the Rfam family "Bacterial small subunit ribosomal RNA", at positions 349 to 782 of the family's 1533-position model. The record is from RNAcentral. Lineage: Bacteria; Bacillati; Bacillota; Bacilli; Lactobacillales; Lactobacillaceae.
CAGCAGUAGGGAAUCUUCCACAAUGGACGAAAGUCUGAUGGAGCAACGCCGCGUGAGUGAUGAAGGGUUUCGGCUCGUAAAACUCUGUUGUUGGAGAAGAACAGGUGAUAGAGUAACUGUUAUCAUCUUGACGGUAUCCAACCAGAAAGCCACGGCUAACUACGUGCCAGCAGCCGCGGUAAUACGUAGGUGGCAAGCGUUGUCCGGAUUUAUUGGGCGUAAAGCGAGCGCAGGCGGUUUUUUAGGUCUGAUGUGAAAGCCUUCGGCUUAACCGGAGAAGGGCAUCGGAAACCGGGAGACUUGAGUGCAGAAGAGGACAGUGGAACUCCAUGUGUAGCGGUGAAAUGCGUAGAUAUAUGGAAGAACACCAGUGGCGAAGGCGGCUGUCUGGUCUGUAACUGACGCUGAGGCUCGAAAGCAUGGGUAGCGAACAGGAUUAGA